RNAcentral lists this ribosomal RNA (557 nucleotides) under Curvularia spicifera. Its description in RNAcentral is "eukaryotic LSU rRNA". It matches the Rfam family "Eukaryotic large subunit ribosomal RNA", at positions 50 to 622 of the family's 3401-position model. The record is from RNAcentral. Lineage: Eukaryota; Fungi; Ascomycota; Dothideomycetes; Pleosporales; Pleosporaceae.
GCGGAGGAAAAGAAACCAACAGGGAUUGCCCUAGUAACGGCGAGUGAAGCGGCAACAGCUCAAAUUUGAAAUCUGGCUCUUUCAGAGUCCGAGUUGUAAUUUGCAGAGGGCGCUUUGGCUUUGGCAGCGGUCCAAGUUCCUUGGAACAGGACGUCACAGAGGGUGAGAAUCCCGUACGUGGUCGCUAGCUAUUGCCGUGUAAAGCCCCUUCGACGAGUCGAGUUGUUUGGGAAUGCAGCUCUAAAUGGGAGGUAAAUUUCUUCUAAAGCUAAAUAUUGGCCAGAGACCGAUAGCGCACAAGUAGAGUGAUCGAAAGAUGAAAAGCACUUUGGAAAGAGAGUCAAACAGCACGUGAAAUUGUUGAAAGGGAAGCGCUUGCAGCCAGACUUGCUUGCAGUUGCUCAUCCGGGCUUUUGCCCGGUGCACUCUUCUGCAGGCAGGCCAGCAUCAGUUUGGGCGGUGGGAUAAAGGUCUCUGUCACGUACCUUCCUUCGGGUUGGCCUUAUAGGGGAGACGCCAUACCACCAGCCUGGACUGAGGUCCGCGCAUCUGCUAGG